UUAACAAUAACAUUUUCAUCAUUCACACAAUUCAAUCAAAUUCCAUGGGUUUAACAAUGACAUUUUCAUCAUUCACACAAUUCAAUCAAAUUCCAUGGGUUUAACAUUGACAUUUUCAUCAUUCACACAAUUCAAUCAAAUUUCAUGGGUUUAACAUCUACCUUUUCAUCAUUCACACCAUUCAAUCAAAUUUCACGGGUUUAACAUCAAGAUUUUCAUCAUUCACACAAUUCAAUCAAAUUUCAUGGCUUUAACAACAACAUUUUCAUCAUUCGCACAAUUCAAUCAAAUAACAUGGGUUUAACAACAGCAUU
This 314-nucleotide long non-coding RNA is filed under the name Lathyrus oleraceus (garden pea). RNAcentral describes it as "Pisum sativum (pea) long non-coding RNA (PSAT_LNC040577)". The record is from RNAcentral. Lineage: Eukaryota; Viridiplantae; Streptophyta; Magnoliopsida; Fabales; Fabaceae.